Molecule: ribosomal RNA, 584 nt
Filed under: Brucella pseudogrignonensis
Lineage: Bacteria; Pseudomonadati; Pseudomonadota; Alphaproteobacteria; Hyphomicrobiales; Brucellaceae
Description: bacterial SSU rRNA
Rfam family: Bacterial small subunit ribosomal RNA
Source: RNAcentral
CAGCUUACACAUGCAAGUCGAGCGCCCCGCAAGGGGAGCGGCAGACGGGUGAGUAACGCCGUGGGAAUCUACCUUUUGCUACGGAAUAACUCAGGGAAACUUGUGCUAAUACCGUAUGUGCCCUUUUGGGGAAAGAUUUAUCGGCAAGAGAUGAGCCCGCGUUGGAUUAGCUAGUUGGUGGGGUAAAGGCCUACCAAGGCGACGAUCCAUAGCUGGUCUGAGAGGAUGAUCAGCCACACUGGGACUGAGACACGGCCCAGACUCCUACGGGAGGCAGCAGUGGGGAAUAUUGGACAAUGGGCGCAAGCCUGAUCCAGCCAUGCCGCGUGAGUGAUGACGGUCUUAGGAUUGUAAAGCUCUUUCACCGGUGAAGAUAAUGACGGUAACCGGAGAAGAAGCCCCGGCUAACUUCGUGCCAGCAGCCGCGGUAAUACGAAGGGGGCUAGCGUUGUUCGGAUUUACUGGGCGUAAAGCGCACGUAGGCGGACUUUUAAGUCAGGGGUGAAAUCCCAGAGCUCAACUCUGGAACUGCCUUUGAUACUGGAAGUCUUGAUUAUGGUAGAGGUGAGUGGAAUUCCGAGUGU